GACGAAGGAUGCAAGCGUUAUCCGGAUUCAUUGGGUUUAAAGGGAGCGUAGGCGGACUAGUAAGUCAGUGGUGAAAUCUCCGGGCUUAAUCCGGAAACUGCCAUUGAUACUGCCAGUCUAGAGUACAGUUGCCGUUGGCGGAAUAUGACAUGUAGUGGUGAAAUACUUAGAUAUGUCAUAGAACACCGAUUGCGAAGGCAGCUAACGAAGCUGUAACUGACGCUGAGGCUCGAAAGUGCGGGGAUCAAACAGG
RNAcentral lists this ribosomal RNA (253 nucleotides) under uncultured prokaryote. RNAcentral's name for it is "partial 16S ribosomal RNA". It matches the Rfam family "Bacterial small subunit ribosomal RNA", at positions 524 to 776 of the family's 1533-position model. The record is from RNAcentral.